Molecule: unclassified non-coding RNA, 393 nt
Filed under: Hevea brasiliensis (rubber tree)
Lineage: Eukaryota; Viridiplantae; Streptophyta; Magnoliopsida; Malpighiales; Euphorbiaceae
Source: RNAcentral
GAAGAAGAAAUGAAGCGAGGGCUGAUGACCCUUGCAAAAGAGGGACGCGAAAUUCAAGGUGAAUUGCAUUUUGUUGGUAAGAUCGAAAGAGAAGCAAGGGGUCUGAAGGAUUUUCUUGGUGAGCUUCCAAGAAGAGAAGCAUCUCGAUACCACUCAGAGGUUUCGGCUCUCAUGUCUCAGGUGAACAAAGAAAAGAAAGCUCUGAGCCGUACCACCACAAAGAUAAUCAAUUAUGGAAUACCGCUCUGAUGGUCUUCCAUAUUCAUAUUAUUAGCAACAGUUUGGAAGAGAGAAGAAGGACCAUGAUUCCAUGGGGCCAGCAGAGAUAAUAAGAGCUGAAAAUUGCUCAGUAAAGAAAACUGGAAGGAAAUCCCUUCAAGUUCUGCAUCGAAA